RNAcentral lists this ribosomal RNA (1479 nucleotides) under Candidatus Aenigmatarchaeota archaeon. Its description in RNAcentral is "bacterial SSU rRNA". It matches the Rfam family "Archaeal small subunit ribosomal RNA". The record is from RNAcentral. Lineage: Archaea; Nanobdellati; Candidatus Aenigmatarchaeota.
AUUCUGGCUGAACCCGCCAGAGGAGGCGGCUAUCCGGGUCAGGCUAAGCCAUGCGAGUCGUGAGGGGAAAGCCCUCGGCGCACUGCUGAGUAAUACCACCUCAACCUACCCUACGGUGGGGGAUAAUCCCGGGAAACUGGGGCUAAUACCCCAUAGGAGAGGGAUUCUGGAAGGACCCUCUCCGAAAGCUAUUAGCAGCUUAAAGCUGCUAAUAGCGCCGUAGGAUGGGAGGUGGUCCUAUCAGGUAGUUGGGGGUGUAACGGACCCCCAAGCCUAAGACGGGUAGGGGCCGUGAGAGCGGGAGCCCCCAGAUGGGCUCUGAGACAUGAGCCCAGGGCCUACGGGCCGCAGCAGGCGCGAAACCUUCCCAAUGCGCUAACGCGCGAGGAGGUGACCCGGAGUGCCCUGGCUCUGCCAGGGCUUUUGCCCAGUGUUAGAAGGCUGGGCGAAUAAGGGGUGGGUAAGACCGGUGGCAGCCGCCACGGUAAUACCGGCGCCCCAAGUCGACUCCGCGAUUAUUGGGCCUAAAGCGCCCGUAGCCGGGCUGGUAAGUCUCUCGUUAAAUCCCAUAGUAAACUAUGGGACUGCGAGAGAUACUGCCAGCCUUGGGGCCGGGAGAGGCCGGCAGUACUCCCAGGGUAGGGGUGAAAUCCUUUAAUCCUGGGGGGACUACCAGUGGCGAAGGCGGCCGGCUAGAACGGUCCCGACGGUGAGGGGCGAAAGCUGGGGGAGCAAAAGGGAUUAGAUACCCCUGUAGUCCCAGCCGUAAACGUUGCCCGCUAGCUAUCGGAGUGGCUUAGAGCCACUCCGGUGGCGAAGGGAAGCCGUUAAGCGGGUCGCCUGGGGAGUACACCCGAAAGGGUGAAACUUAAGGGUAUUGGCGGGGGGGCACACAAGGGGUGGGUUGUGCGGUUUAAUUGGAUUCGACACCGGGAAUCUUACCCGGGGAGACGGCAGGAUGAAGGUCAGGCUGAAGACCUUACCAGACGAGCCGAGAGGUGGUGCAUGGCUACCGUCAGCUCGUACCGUGAGGCGUGCCGUUAAGUCGGUUAACGAGCGAGACCCGUGCCUCAUGUUGCUACUCGCAGCUUCGGUUGCGAGGCACUCAUGGGGGACUGCCCGCGAUAAGCGGGAGGAAGGUACGGGCGACGGUAAGUCCGUAUGCCCCGAAUCCCCGGGGCCACACGCGCAACACAAUGGGUGCUACAAAGGGAUGCCACCCCGAAAGGGGGAGCAAAUCCCCUAAAAGCGCCCCUAGUUCGGAUCGAGGGUUGUAACUCGCCCUCGUGAAGCUGGAAUCCCUAGUAGGCGGGGUUUAGCAAACCUCGCCGAAUACGUCCCUGCCCCUUGCUCACACUGCCCGUCACGCCAACCGAGUGGAGCUCCUGUGAGGGCUGAAAGGCUCGAACAGGAGCUCCGCGAGGGGGGCGAAGUCGUCACAAGGUAGCCGUGCGGGAACGCGCGGCUGGAUCACUCAGC